UUAAGCAGAAGUCAAAUGACACGUGACGGACACUUUCAUCCACACUUUUUUCUUUAGAAUUUAUUAUGCAAAUGCCCUUCCCAGCAACUGAAGUUGCGAGGUCAUGCAUCAAAUUAUUCAUUUUGCAACUUUCUACAUUGCCAAAUAUAUCCCUCUCCGCUUCAUGAAAAAAUGACCUCCAAAAUAAAUCCAUAAAAUACUCUCGCCCUCUGUCUUCAACAGAUAGACUUGAAUUUGGAGACUCAAUGAACCCUUGCGCAGCCCAAAGAUGAAUCAAUGUUGUCACAUUGAUCAAAUGAUCUUUAGGAAAUAAUGCACAAUAUGUAAAACAAUGCUUCAAAUGUGACGAGAGAUUAUCAUAACUCAACUUGAGGGUUGGCAAUAUAUCAUUCUCAUUUUGUUCUACCUUUGAGAGUUCAUUAUCUAAGAAAGUUGCCCAUUCAUUUCUUGGAUCUUUAAAGCAUAAAAGACUUGCAAUUGUCUUUA
RNAcentral lists this unclassified non-coding RNA (486 nucleotides) under Hevea brasiliensis (rubber tree). The record is from RNAcentral. Lineage: Eukaryota; Viridiplantae; Streptophyta; Magnoliopsida; Malpighiales; Euphorbiaceae.